UUUGUUCUUGAACUUACUCUUUAUAGUUCCUUGGUUUUUUAACAGAAUACUUUUGUAUAGCAUUUGUUAGCUGAACAGCUAAAAUUCUGCUCAGACAGUUUGUCUACUCUGUUUUAAAGGAAAGCCCAUAUGAACUCACUAGUCUGUUCAAAUAAGCUAAUUCAGAGAAGUACAAUCUGUACAUUAGAAUUACAUAAUGUAUAUUUUUGUUGUAUACUUGGCUCUAAGAGACGGUUCGGAUUUUCCCUCAAUGUCUGUCAUAUUAACAGUAUCAAAGCUUUACUUUUCUGAGGCCUAAAGUGUAGUCAUUAAAGCAAAGGGAAGACAUGAUAUUUAAAAAGAGUAUUUUGAAAGUAACAAUUAUAUAUUUCUUUGAUAAUUAAGGUUUGCAAACCUCUAAGUUUACUGAGACACUAGUAAUCUACUGGAAAUGACAUACAUGGAUACAUUUUGCCUUCCUCUUAUAUCUGAGUAGUUUCUUCUGACUGCAUCCAUUCUUGCUCCAGGGCUAAGAAUUUGAGAUAGGAAGUUAAAGAAGCUCCAGUAGUGUUAACUUAAUGUGGUACUCAAAAGUAUAUAGCAGUUUCUAAAAAAAUGAACAAACAUUUCACAGUUAAUUUAUCAUAUUGAUCAACCUAUGUAAACAUUACCUUUCUUGUGUGUCUUCAAGGCUAGGCUGAAGAUUUUUGAAUGAAGACAAACAAAAAAAUAGUGCAUGAUCCAAAAGAUGCAAGUUGAAAAAAAAUAAAAAAGGAAGAAAAGCUGCAGUUGACACAAGAAGGUGGUUAGCGUUAACAUAUAGUGUGAUGAUGGAUGUCAGGGGCAGAGGAGGGUGUUAAGUCAUUGUUUUAGACUUGUGAGGUGGAUUUACUAGAGUUUGUGUCUUUCUGAGCAGAGAAUAUUGUGUUGAUCCAGUAAUUUGGGGAUAUUUUUAUUGCUCCAGGGAAUGCUGUAUUAAAAGUAGAAGCAGCUUUAAAUAUUCUUUAAAAUGGAAUGCAUUGCCUUUAGUCUCUCUGUGGAGCAUGCUAUUAGGAGCUAUAUCCCUAGCUACACUUGUGAAAUUAAAAAAGCUUCAUGGCUGGAAAGGUGCCCAAAUUCUGAGAAAUCCUGUCUUUCUGAAGAGAGAAAUAAAUAGUCAAUCAAAAAUAGGUAUCUGUAACGCUUUGUAGGCUAGAUCCAAAGAGAGCCAUAGAUGUGGUGAUGCUCCAGUAUCUUAAACUUCAGUAGUUUGGACCAUGCAAUGGAAGGGAAGAGAACAGGGUUCAGUAUUUGCAUUUUGAACUAUUGUUGAAUUUUCUUGUCCUGUUAAAGGGCAAGUAACAAAACAGAAAUAGUCCCUGGAGCAGGGACUAGAAUCUAGGUCUUCUCUCCCAGCUGAGCACCCUGGUUAUUACCAGGCUACAGUGUGAUCCUUGUUAAUUGUCCAGAUGCCAUAGCAUUUUAAUUUUUAGCUGGGUAGUUACCUAGCUUUAUCAGACUAGAAGCUUGUUACUAUCCAGCCUUUUAGAUUCCUAAUUAAAGUGCUCUUCUGGGAAAUAAAUGCAUGGUUUUAAAUCCCCAUAUGCUAACAGGGAAUUAAAGCCAAAUUCCUUGCCUCUGUGGUACUCGCUGUAAUCUGGUAUGUAUCUCCAGGGAAAAUUCUGGAUCAGUAGUCCCAAACCAUUUGUGUACCUUGUGUACCUUGCACUGCUGUUACACAGCCCCACCACUGUCCUUUCACUGGGGGGUGUUUGCUGCUUCGGGUGUAAUCUCUGUGUUACCUUGCACAUGAGCCUCCUAGUGUGUCUUGGUGGAGCUUCAGCCUUCUAUAAAGUUGCCACCAGAAAAAUUAAGUGUAUUUAUCAUCUCUUUUUCUAGGGAAAUCCUGUGGUGUUUAUUGGAUGACUUUGUAUAGGACUUGAGGGCCUGAAUUUUGCUUAUAUGCAAAAAUACUUCUAUUACAUGCUGCCAAGAAUUCAGAAGCCAUGCAGAUGAUGAGAAAACAUGAUGCUUAUGAAGUAUUUGAAUAUGGUGCAAUGUACACAGAAUAUUCACUUCAUAGCUUCAGAGGGAAAAAACAAACAAAGCCCCAACACUACACCAAAAACAUGAAGAGGAACAUUUCCUUCAUGACUGACAGAGCAUUCAUGUGAGCAGAACACAAAUGAAAGCAUAUUGGAGAUAGCAUUUUUGAGACACUGUAACACCCUUGUGUUUCCUAUGGAAGAGGCUUUUGCAAAUGGGAACUGUUACCUUAUUUUUGAGCACUUUAAUUAUUUUCAAUCAAAUUUGAUAGAGGAAUAGCAAUAUCAAAAAUUUUAGGCAUCUAUAGGUGCCUAGAAUAUCCAGCAAGGAAGGGUAGAAGGACCAUCCAGCAAGGAAAAGACUUCUGUGUGAGUUCAUCGCUUCUCAGACAAAUGGCACUUCAUUUAUUCCAUCACCUAUGGAAAUUUGGUUUACUGAAUGAACUGAACUGAAUGUAGAAACACAGAGGAUUCAAAUAUGUAUUUGCUUUCUUUAUGUUGGGACAUCAUUUAAGCCAUAUAAAUAAUUUUUUAUAAUUUACUAGUGAACAGUGACCAGUACAAAAUGUUUCAAACUUAUUUUCAGUUCACAUCCAGAAAAAAGGAUUUUUCUGAAGUACAAUAAAUUGGUGGAGGAUGUGUGUGCAUUCAAUAU
Poecile atricapillus (Black-capped chickadee) is the source of this 2658-nucleotide long non-coding RNA. RefSeq lists it as uncharacterized. Lineage: Eukaryota; Metazoa; Chordata; Aves; Passeriformes; Paridae. The transcript is spliced from 3 exons. The record is from RefSeq and is a predicted model, not a curated record.